GACGGAGGGCGCUAGCGUUGUUCGGAAUCACUGGGCGUAAAGGGCGCGCAGGCGGCCUCGUCAGUCGGGCGCGAAAGCCCGGGGCUCAACCCCGGAACGGCGCCCGGGACGGCGGGGCUGGAGGCCGGGAGAGGGCGGUGGAAUACCCAGUGUAGAGGUGAAAUUCGUAGAUAUUGGGAAGAACACCGGUGGCGAAGGCGGCGACCUGGUCCUUGACUGACGCUGAGGCGCGAGUGCGUGGGGAGCAAACAGG
RNAcentral lists this ribosomal RNA (253 nucleotides) under uncultured bacterium. RNAcentral's name for it is "partial 16S ribosomal RNA". It matches the Rfam family "Bacterial small subunit ribosomal RNA", at positions 524 to 776 of the family's 1533-position model. The record is from RNAcentral.